CGGGUGGAAAAUGAGAACCCUAAUAUGAUAAAAAAAUUUCUAGUGGGUGCUGCAGUCCCAUCGAUGCCAUGUACCUCACCUAAUAGUUAUUGAUAAUAUGCACAUCAAUGCAUGGAUAAUUCUUUGCCUAGAUGCUUCUCUGAGUAUAUUUCAGCGACUUAGUCUCUAAGUCAUGUGGGCUCACCUAACAGUUAUUGACUACACUUCUUAGUUAAGCCCGACCCACCAUUCACAAGCAGGUGCAAGGCCAUCAUUGGGUCCCUCAUCUAAUAAUUGUUGAGCCCA
Molecule: long non-coding RNA, 285 nt
Filed under: Elaeis guineensis (African oil palm)
Lineage: Eukaryota; Viridiplantae; Streptophyta; Magnoliopsida; Arecales; Arecaceae
Description: long non-coding RNA (EGUI_LNC061226)
Source: RNAcentral